AUAGGUGACAUGAAGACUAUAAUGACAUGGCCCUAGACCAGGGGUGUCAAAAUUACGGCCCAGUGGGUGACGGCGAGGAAAUCAUUGUAAAAAAAAAUUAGUGCGGCCAUCCGGACCUAGUUGAAGACUGAAUGCAGCUUGACACCCCUGCCCUAGACAUUGUCUUGAUGUAUUUAGUUAAAAGAUCACAAUAAGUGUCUUAUCCCAGCUUAUGAAGAAGAUGCCCCACUUCCGCAAGCAGGUGACUCAGGACCUGGCAGUAGGGUCUGAUGUGGAGGGUCAGAAGGUGAAGGACCCGAUGAGGACACUGCUUCCUGUGCUGCUGCAUCCCCACGACAUCUACGACAAGAUCAGAGCUGUUCUCCUCUACAU
Molecule: non-coding RNA, 372 nt
Organism: Salmo salar (Atlantic salmon)
Lineage: Eukaryota; Metazoa; Chordata; Actinopteri; Salmoniformes; Salmonidae
Source: RefSeq, a predicted model, not a curated record